Paramuricea clavata is the source of this 1150-nucleotide non-coding RNA. Lineage: Eukaryota; Metazoa; Cnidaria; Anthozoa; Malacalcyonacea; Plexauridae. The record is from the annotation of a GenBank genome assembly.
GUCUUUGCCAAUCUCGUUCCCCGAGCCUGCGAUCCUUGGGAAGGAAACGAAGGCUCUGGGAUAAUCCAUCUCAGACAUACAGAAAACUGUAUGUCGACCGAACUGCGCAUGCGUUGCCAAAAGCAAAACAAAUCGGUUUGAAAUAUUUUAUUGUUUCGUCUAUAAAAUGAUUAUUUUUUCGGGGUUUUGGUGCAAAUGUUGAUGUUCUUCAUAGUGGGAUACAAAAGGUGUGUUAGCGACUGAAUAAGGAAAAUAUUGCGUGUGAAACAGGGUCAGUAUAGAGCCGGCAGGAGCCGCGAAGAGUGCUGUUGUCGAAGAAAAAUGUCACAAUUAAUUGUAAUCUUGUCCAUUUACCUCUGUGUCAGUUUGAAAAAGCUUUAAAUGUAGAGACAUUUGUGGUUCCUCCAGCAUAAUUUAGCCGUUUAACGCUAUUAUGUUUCUAAUGGUUGAAAGAGCGCGUGGAAAGGGCAAUUUUCAAGAACAAAAACAAUUACAAUGUACUGUGUAUUAAUUGCUACUGUAGUAUUAAAAUACCUGAAGAGUCUCAAUUCUAAUAUUAAGUCGUUUAUAAACCUUGAUAAUAUUAAAGUUUUCAGAAGAUUUGUAUAUCAGAGGAAUAUUAAAAGGAAUUUAGACUAUAAAACAUAUCAUUAAAAAUAUGAAUAUAGUGAAUUCCAUGUUUGUAUUGUGUUAUCAUCUCUAGAAAUUAACAAUUUAUAAACCAAAUCCUUGUUAUAUUUUUUAACUGCCCUUAUAGCUUUCCUUUAAUAUUUGCAAGCAGUUUAGUAGGUUAGGGAUGCAACAGCAUUUUUCAAAUUAUUGAAUUUUAACCAAAUUUUGUGUCUGGAUAGGAAUUUUACUAUUAAAGAUUUACAGUUUGUAAUGAUAGAGUUGGAGCAAGUUAAGCUGCAAUGUGCCUCAGUUUGCCCUACUUUGUUAUUUUAAGCUGUUUAAUGCCAGAAUUUUUUCUCGUCAAGGGGAAAGUAUUGGACUUUGAUAUUGGUAUUUGAAUGGGUUAACCAGUCCAUCUGCAUGUCUACCAGCUAUCUUUGGUUAAUUAUCUCAUUAGAUCAUUAAGCCACAAUGCUCUUAGUGCACCUUUUUUGUUAUUUCACUGUACUUCUGGACAAUAUUUCUCACCAAUGGCCAG